This 496-nucleotide ribosomal RNA is filed under the name uncultured bacterium. RNAcentral's name for it is "partial 16S ribosomal RNA". It matches the Rfam family "Bacterial small subunit ribosomal RNA", at positions 29 to 507 of the family's 1533-position model. The record is from RNAcentral.
AUGAACGCUGGCGGCGUGCCUAAUACAUGCAAGUCGAGCGAACAGACGAGGAGCUUGCUCCUCUGACGUUAGCGGCGGACGGGUGAGUAACACGUGGAUAACCUACCUAUAAGUCUGGGAUAACUUCGGGAAACCGGAGCUAAUACCGGAUAAUAUAUUGAACCGCAUGGUUCAAUAGUGAAAGACGGUUUUGCUGUCACUUAUAGAUGGAUCCGCGCCGCAUUAGCUAGUUGGUAAGGUAACGGCUUACCAAGGCAACGAUGCGUAGCCGACCUGAGAGGGUGAUCGGCCACACUGGAACUGAGACACGGUCCAGACUCCUACGGGAGGCAGCAGUAGGGAAUCUUCCGCAAAGGGCGAAAGCCUGACGGAGCAACGCCGCGUGAGUGAUGAAGGUCUUCGGAUCGUAAAACUCUGUUAUUAGGGAAGAACAAAUGUGUAAGUAACUAUGCACGUCUUGACGGUACCUAAUCAGAAAGCCACGGCUAACUACGUG